This 392-nucleotide ribosomal RNA is filed under the name uncultured bacterium. RNAcentral's name for it is "partial 16S ribosomal RNA". It matches the Rfam family "Bacterial small subunit ribosomal RNA", at positions 523 to 918 of the family's 1533-position model. The record is from RNAcentral.
AUACGGAAGGUCCGGGCGUUAUCCGGAUUUAUUGGGUUUAAAGGGAGCGCAGGCGGAGAUGCAAGCGUGACGUCAAAUUUCGGGGCUCAACCCCGUCUCGCGUCGCGAACUGCGUCCCUUGGUUGCGGGAAGGGGAGGCGGAACUCGUGGUGUAGCGGUGAAAUGCAUAGAUAUGACGAAGAACACCGAUUGCGUAGGCAGCUGACCAGAUCGCAAAUGACGCUCAUGCACGAAAGUGCGGGGAUCGAACAGGAUUAGAUACCCUGGUAGUCCGCACAGUAAACGAUGAAUACUUGUUUUCGGCGAUAUAAUGUCGGAGGCAAAGCGAAAGCGAUAAGUAUUCCACCUGGGGAGUACGCCGGCAACGGUGAAACUCAAAUGAAUUGGCGGGG